AUGCUUUGUUAUUUUUUCGCUGUUACAUCACUUCCCAUAACAAGUAGGGCACUGAAUUUCAGGUUUGAUCUGCACUGUGUGGAGUGGAGCUGUUAUGUCUACUUUUCUUCCUUCUUCUUUGAACUAUGUGUUUUCAUGCAAUGGACAAAGAUUUCCAUUCUUCAGAUUGCAAUUUUAGAUGGCCACAUACGAGCUUCCUGCCCAACGAUCUCUCCGGAUUUAAACCUCUUUAGAUUGUCACAAAGCUUCAGUCUCUGAUAACCAUUACAAGUUUGCGACUGAGUUUGAGUCCCAUAACUUUCUGGCCUUCAUCUGAGGUAAGUUACUCAACUUUUUUUGUUUUGUUACUUAGCUUUUAAGCUACUUUUUCCUCUCCUGAAAAUGGGAGAGAAUAUGAAUACCCACCUGAAAGGGAGGGUGGGAAGACCAAAUGACAUAAUUCAUAAUUGAUGUAGAAGUGCCCUGUAGCUUGUAAUGGACGUAAAAAAGCCGUCUCCAAAUCUUCGUUGCCUUGUGAGUUGUAUUUGCAACUUCAGCAGAUACCAGAUAAAUUUAGAAAUUGCCCCUGCAAUAGACAUAUGUUGCCACCAGGUGGCAGGAGAAACCUGUGAUGCAAUCAAGGAGGACAAACAUUCUCAGAGAGAAUUAAUAAAAUAAAUUCUGAUUGUUAGAAGCAGCCAACUCUUUAGUGUUUAUUAAAUAAACAACAAAGCUUAUUUAUAAAUCACAGAAACCCGGAAUACACCAAAUAUGAAUCCUCUAAUACAGGAUGUUUCAAACAGUUUUUAGGCCCUGGUACUCAUUUUCCAGCUGAAAUCUUACACAGAACCCCAAGUAUAGAAAGUAGAUAAAAGUGGCAGAACUUUUUCUGAAGUAGGGCAGGCACAUUGGGAGUUAAUUCACUCAUCCUCCUUCUUUAUCCUUGAGCCACCUCUGCCAAACCUCAGGUCUUCCUGGGACUGAGUUCUAAACCACUGUUCUAACAACUGUAUUAAUACCCUUUGAAAAUAUUCC
This 1014-nucleotide long non-coding RNA is filed under the name Macaca mulatta (Rhesus monkey). Its description in RNAcentral is "lncRNA (ENSMMUG00000051068.1)". Lineage: Eukaryota; Metazoa; Chordata; Mammalia; Primates; Cercopithecidae. The record is from RNAcentral.